This 245-nucleotide ribosomal RNA is filed under the name uncultured bacterium. RNAcentral's name for it is "partial 16S ribosomal RNA". It matches the Rfam family "Bacterial small subunit ribosomal RNA", at positions 88 to 334 of the family's 1533-position model. The record is from RNAcentral.
AUGGCGACCGGCGCACGGGUGAGUAACACGUAUCCAGCCUGCCGAUAACUCGGGGAUAGCCUUUCGAAAGAAAGAUUAAUACCCGAUGGUAUAAUCAGACCGCAUGGUUUGAUUAUUAAAGAAUUUCGGUUAUCGAUGGGGAUGCGUUCCAUUAGGCAGUUGGUGAGGUAACGGCUCACCAAACCUUCGAUGGAUAGGGGUUCUGAGAGGAAGGUCCCCCACAUUGGAACUGAGACACGGUCCAA